UCUCCAGACUCCUACGGGAGGCAGCAGUGAGGAAUAUUGGUCAAUGGUCGGGAGACUGAACCAGCCAAGCCGCGUGAGGGAUGAAGGUACAGAGUAUCGUAAACCUCUUUUGUCAGGGAACAAAGGCGGGGACGUGGCCCCGGAUGAGUGUACCUGAAGAAAAAGCAUCGGCUAACUCCGUGCCAGCAGCCGCGGGAAUACGGAGGAUGCGAGCGUUAUCCGGAUUUAUUGGGUUUAAAGGGUGCGCAGGCGGUCUGUUAAGUCAGCGGUAAAAGCCCGGGGCUCAACCCCGGCCCACCGUUGAAACUGGCAGUCUCGAGUUGGAGAGAAGUAUGCGGAAUGCGUGGUGUAGCGGUGAAAUGCAUAGAUAUCACGCAGAACUCCGAUUGCGAAGGCAGCAUACCGGCGCCCAACUGACGCUGAAGCACGAAAGCGUGGGUAUCGAACAGGAUUAGAUCCCCUUGUA
RNAcentral lists this ribosomal RNA (466 nucleotides) under uncultured bacterium. RNAcentral's name for it is "bacterial SSU rRNA". It matches the Rfam family "Bacterial small subunit ribosomal RNA", at positions 328 to 792 of the family's 1533-position model. The record is from RNAcentral.